CCUACGGGAGGCAGCAGUGGGGAAUAUUGCACAAUGGGGGAAACCCUGAUGCAGCGACGCCGCGUGAGUGAAGAAGUAUUUCGGUAUGUAAAGCUCUAUCAGCAGGGAAGAAAAUGACGGUACCUGACUAAGAAGCCCCGGCUAACUACGUGCCAGCAGCCGCGGUAAUACGUAGGGGGCAAGCGUUAUCCGGAUUUACUGGGUGUAAAGGGAGCGUAGACGGUGAUGCAAGUCAGAAGUGAAAGCCCGGGGCUCAACUCCGGGACUGCUUUUGAAAAUGUGUGACUGGAGUUCAGGAGAGGUAAGCGGAAUUCCUGGUGUAGCGGUGAAAUGCGUAGAUAUCAGGAGGAACACCAGUGGCGAAGGCGGCUUACUGGACUGUAACUGACGUUGAGGCUCGAAAGCGUGGGGAGCAAACAGGAUUAGAUACCCUUGUAGUC
This 440-nucleotide ribosomal RNA is filed under the name uncultured bacterium. RNAcentral's name for it is "partial 16S ribosomal RNA". It matches the Rfam family "Bacterial small subunit ribosomal RNA", at positions 338 to 795 of the family's 1533-position model. The record is from RNAcentral.